ACAUGGAAAAGCCCUGAGACCGCAUGGAAGAGCAUACUGUUUUCCAGCCUCUCCUAUUUCCUCCAACUUCCUGUUUGUCCGUUGUCAGCCACUGUGGGACAAGGGAAUGGGAUCUUAAGGGACUUCCUUAUUGGAACCUCAUCAUGACGUCCAGAAACAGGAGAAAUGGUCUCUGUCAUUUUACACCAUGGAGGUUUGAGCAGCUCUUGGCAAGGACAAUUCUUCCCUCUUUGGCCAUGUUCGGGUCUGGCCAUUUAUGUGUGUGUGUACAGGUACACUCGCUAAUCGGAAUUUCACAGCAGCAGCCUGGCCUACUCCUACAGUGCAAUUCACAGACUCUGGUGACAUGGAGCUGACCUGCUCUUCACAACAGAACUAUUGAAAUUUCUGUCCAAUGAUGUUGAAAUAUUUCCUUUAUUGUCACUUGGAGACCAUUUUCCAAGUAAAAAUGCCCUGAAAAUAGAAGAUGAUAUCAUCCAAAGCAUCUCUGUCGUCAGCGGUAGAGCCACGAGCAAGUGGCCCACAUGCUCACUGCCUCUGAGAGCACCGGGUAUCACAGGUCAUAGUGGUGAUGCUCACCCAGGACCAGUGGAUAGUUCCAAACUCAUGGUCACACAGACACACCCAGCAGGAAGUAUCCUACAAUGCAGAAAUGGAGAUCAGUUGAGAACUUACAGGAGUCAUUCGGUCCUUUUUCUACCACAUGGCUCCUGCUGACUGAACUCUGGUCAUCAGGCAUGGUGCCAAGCAGCUCUGCCUGCUGAGCCAUUCUGCAGGCCCUGCAACAGCACUCGUCCCCCAGCUUUCUUCGAAUUCUGAGUGGAUACUUAACAGAUGAGCUUUCAGUUCGUAUAGUUCAUAAUAAUAGCUAAAUCCAUCAACUGGACUUUAUCACUGCAUAAUAAUAUCUUCAUCCCUAUAUAAAUUUUAAUAAAUUCUACCCUUUCUGAUAAGAAUACUGUCAUUUAUAUUUUCUUUGUGUUUUUCUGACAAUUGCUGAUUUUUCUAUUUUUUGUCUUUGUCACUUCAUCGUAAGGGUAUUAUAAAACACCCUUAUGAUGAGAAAAGUACAUUUAAUGU
This 1080-nucleotide long non-coding RNA is filed under the name Mus musculus (house mouse). Its description in RNAcentral is "RIKEN cDNA A830019P07 gene". The record is from RNAcentral. Lineage: Eukaryota; Metazoa; Chordata; Mammalia; Rodentia; Muridae.